Molecule: ribosomal RNA, 253 nt
Filed under: uncultured bacterium
Lineage: Bacteria
Description: partial 16S ribosomal RNA
Rfam family: Bacterial small subunit ribosomal RNA
Source: RNAcentral
GACAGAGGUGCCGAGCGUUAGGCGGAAUCACUGGGCUUAAAGCGUGUGUAGGCGGGCCCGUAAGUACCUUGUGAAAUCCCACGGCUCAACCGUGGAACUGCUGGGUAUACUGCGGGCCUUGGGCCACCUAGGGGCAGACGGAACAAGUGGUGGAGCGGUGAAAUGCGUAGAUAUCACUUGGAACGCCGACGGUGAAAACAGUCUGCUGGGGGUGUGCCGACGCUGAGACACGAAAGCCAGGGGAGCGAACGGG